GGGCCUUUAGCUCAGCGGUUAGAGCAGUCGGCUCAUACCCGAUCGGUCCGGGGUUCGAAUCCCUGAAGGCCCA
Molecule: transfer RNA, 73 nt
Filed under: Clostridia bacterium
Lineage: Bacteria; Bacillati; Bacillota; Clostridia
Description: tRNA-Ile
Rfam family: tRNA
About the family: Transfer RNA (tRNA) molecules are approximately 80 nucleotides in length. Their secondary structure includes four short double-helical elements and three loops (D, anti-codon, and T loops).
Source: RNAcentral